RNAcentral lists this ribosomal RNA (468 nucleotides) under uncultured bacterium. RNAcentral's name for it is "partial 16S ribosomal RNA". It matches the Rfam family "Bacterial small subunit ribosomal RNA", at positions 28 to 507 of the family's 1533-position model. The record is from RNAcentral.
GACGAACGCUGGCGGCGUGCUUAACACAUGCAAGUCGAACGGAAAGGCCCUGCUUUUGUGGGGUGCUCGAGUGGCGAACGGGUGAGUAACACGUGAGUAACCUGCCCUUGACUUUGGGAUAACUUCAGGAAACUGGGGCUAAUACCGGAUAGGAGCUCCUGCUGCAUGGUGGGGGUUGGAAAGUUUCGGCGGUUGGGGAUGGACUCGCGGCUUAUCAGCUUGUUGGUGGGGUAGUGGCUUACCAAGGCUUUGACGGGUAGCCGGCCUGAGAGGGUGACCGGCCACAAUAGGACUGAGAUACGGCCCAGACUCCUACGGGAGGCAGCGGGGGGGAAUAUUGCACAAUGGGCGGAAGCCUGAUGCAGCAACGCCGCGUGCGGGAUGACGGCCUUCGGGUUGUGAACCGCUUUCGCCUGUGACGAAGCGUGAGUGACGGUAAUGGGUAAAGAAGCACCGGCUAACUACGUG